GUGCUCUUCUCAUCAUCUAUAUCAUUAAUGAAGAUGUUAAAACAGUAUUGGACCCCGUACUGACUCUGUGUAUCUCCCCUCCAGCAACGUGCUGAAGGCCCAGGAGGAAGCAGCCUGCGACUAGCCAGGCAGAGCAGCACUUCAACCUCCCUGAUCCUGGUGACACCAAUGUUUGCUAUGAGCUAUCCAUUUUCAAGAACCUUUAACAACUUAUGUGGGAAAACAGGAAAAUACAGGGUAUCUUCUUCAGAGUCAUCCAGCUCUUCCUCUGAAAACACUUCCAAGUCAUAUUCUUUGCUUAACUGAGGCACUACAAAUGCUAAAUCACGUAACUCUGAAAGGACGUCUGCCCUUUCCAAGACAUGCAGAAAACAGUACCCGAGAGUCAUCAAGAAGUGGACUGUUUCAUUUUGACUAAACUGUGCCAUGGUGCAUUCUUCUGGAAGAAUCAUUUCUGGUUAACAUGUAAGGCAGGGAAACUUUGAGAGGUGGAAUUUUACAGGGGCUGCCAAUCCCAGAAGAGAUGACAAGAUGUCUCAAACUAGGAAGGAUUUGGAGGCCUUCAAGUGCCAGAAAAGUCACUGGGAGUGAAGAAUUCUCAGCCUUUAAGAGGGUGCUUAGCACUAUGCAGUACUGAGCCAUGAAUUGCAGUGCUACACUCAGCUGUUUUCCAGUGGUUUUAGUAU
This 686-nucleotide long non-coding RNA is filed under the name Athene cunicularia (burrowing owl). RNAcentral's name for it is "lncRNA (ENSACUG00000008706.1)". Lineage: Eukaryota; Metazoa; Chordata; Aves; Strigiformes; Strigidae. The record is from RNAcentral.